RNAcentral lists this transfer RNA (76 nucleotides) under Pseudothermotoga hypogea. RNAcentral's name for it is "tRNA-Thr". It matches the Rfam family "tRNA". Rfam says of the family: Transfer RNA (tRNA) molecules are approximately 80 nucleotides in length. The record is from RNAcentral. RNAcentral also lists the same sequence under 7 other names. Lineage: Bacteria; Thermotogati; Thermotogota; Thermotogae; Thermotogales; Thermotogaceae.
GCCAGCGUAGCUCAACCGGCAGAGCGGCUGACUUGUAAUCAGCAGGUUGGGGGUUCGAGUCCCUUCGCUGGCUCCA